GGCGGCACGCCUAACACAUGCAAGUCGAGCGCCCAGCAAUGGGAGCGGCGGACGGGUGAGUAACACGUGGGAAUAUGCCUUUCGGUACGGAACAACUCAGGGAAACUUGAGCUAAUGCCGUAUACGCCCUUACGGGGAAAGAUUUAUCGCCGAAAGAUUAGCCCGCGUCUGAUUAGCUAGUUGGUGAGGUAAUGGCUCACCAAGGCUUCGAUCAGUAGCUGGUUUGAGAGAACGACCAGCCACACUGGGACUGAGACACGGCCCAGACUCCUACGGGAGGCAGCAGUGGGGAAUCUUGGACAAUGGGGGAAACCCUGAUCCAGCGAUGCCGCGUGAGUGAUGAAGGCCUUCGGGUUGUAAAACUCUUUCGACGGGGACGAUAAUGACGGUACCCGUAGAAGAAGCUCCGGCUAACUUCGUGCCAGCAGCCGCGGUAAUACGAAGGGGGCUAGCGUUGUUCGGAAUUACUGGGCGUAAAGCGCGCGCAGGCGGCUUCUCAAGUCAGGGGU
RNAcentral lists this ribosomal RNA (509 nucleotides) under uncultured Alphaproteobacteria bacterium. Its description in RNAcentral is "bacterial SSU rRNA". It matches the Rfam family "Bacterial small subunit ribosomal RNA", at positions 38 to 595 of the family's 1533-position model. The record is from RNAcentral. Lineage: Bacteria; Pseudomonadati; Pseudomonadota; Alphaproteobacteria.